This 429-nucleotide ribosomal RNA is filed under the name Pseudomonadota bacterium. Its description in RNAcentral is "Proteobacteria bacterium partial 16S ribosomal RNA". It matches the Rfam family "Bacterial small subunit ribosomal RNA", at positions 355 to 776 of the family's 1533-position model. Lineage: Bacteria; Pseudomonadati; Pseudomonadota. The record is from RNAcentral.
UGGGGAAUAUUGGACAAUGGGCGAAAGCCUGAUCCAGCCAUGCCGCGUGUGUGAAGAAGGUCUUCCGAUUGUAAAGCACUUUAAGUUGGGAGGAAGGGCAGUAAGCGAAUACCUUGCUGUUUUGACGUUACCGACAGAAUAAGCACCGGCUAACUCUGUGCCAGCAGCCGCGGUAAUACAGAGGGUGCAAGCGUUAAUCGGAAUUACUGGGCGUAAAGCGCGCGUAGGUGGUUCGUUAAGUUGAAUGUGAAAGCCCCGGGCUCAACCUGGGAACUGCAUCCAAAACUGGCGAGCUAGAGUAGGGCAGAGGGUGGUGGAAUUUCCUGUGUAGCGGUGAAAUGCGUAGAUAUAGGAAGGAACACCAGUGGCGAAGGCGACCACCUGGGCUCAUACUGACACUGAGGUGCGAAAGCGUGGGGAGCAAACAGG